Molecule: ribosomal RNA, 497 nt
Filed under: uncultured bacterium
Lineage: Bacteria
Description: partial 16S ribosomal RNA
Rfam family: Bacterial small subunit ribosomal RNA
Source: RNAcentral
GAUGAACGCUGGCGGCGUGCCUAAUACAUGCAAGUCGAGCGAACAGAUGAGGAGCUUGCUCCUCUGACGUUAGCGGCGGACGGGUGAGUAACACGUGGAUAACCUACCUAUAAGACUGGGAUAACUUCGGGAAACCGGAGCUAAUACCGGAUAAUAUAUUGAACCGCAUGGUUCAAUAGUGAAAGACGGUUUUGCUGUCACUUAUAGAUGGAUCCGCGCCGCAUUAGCUAGUUGGUAAGGUAACGGCUUACCAAGGCAACGAUGCGUAGCCGACCUGAGAGGGUGAUCGGCCACACUGGAACUGAGACACGGUGCAGACUCCUACGGGAGGCAGCAGUAGGGAAUCUUCCGCAAUGGGCGAAAGCCUGACGGAGCAACGCCGCGUGAGUGAUGAAGGUCUUCGGAUCGUAAAACUCUGUUAUUAGGGAAGAACAAAUGUGUAAGUAACUAUGCACGUCUUGACGGUACCCAAUCAGAAAGCCACGGCUAACUACGUG